GUGGGGAAUAUUGGACAAUGGGGGAAACCCUGAUCCAGCCAUGCCGCGUGAAUGAUGAAGGCCUUCGGGUUGUAAAGUUCUUUUGGAGGGGACGAUGAUGACGGUACCCUCAGAAUAAGCUCCGGCUAACUUCGUGCCAGCAGCCGCGGUAAUACGAAGGGAGCUAGCGUUGUUCGGAAUUACUGGGCGUAAAGGGCGCGUAGGCGGUUUGGUCAGUCAGAUGUGAAAGCCCAGGGCUUAACCCUGGAACUGCGUUUGAUACUGCCAAGCUUGAAUUCGGGAGAGGUGAGUGGAAUUCCCAGUGUAGAGGUGAAAUUCGUAGAUAUUGGGAAGAACACCAGUGGCGAAGGCGGCUCACUGGACCGACAUUGACGCUGAGGCGCGAAAGCGUGGGGAGCAAACAGGAUUAGAAACCCGGGUAGUCC
RNAcentral lists this ribosomal RNA (425 nucleotides) under uncultured bacterium. RNAcentral describes it as "partial 16S ribosomal RNA". It matches the Rfam family "Bacterial small subunit ribosomal RNA", at positions 354 to 796 of the family's 1533-position model. The record is from RNAcentral.